UACGUAGGGUCCGAGCGUUGUCCGGAAUUAUUGGGCGUAAAGGGCUCGUAGGCGGUGUGUCGCGUCGGGAGUGAAAACUCGGAGCUUAACUUCGAGCUUGCUUUCGAUACGGGCAGACUAGAGGUAGGCAGGGGAGAGCGGAAUUCCUGGUGUAGCGGUGGAAUGCGCAGAUAUCAGGAGGAACACCGGUGGCGAAGGCGGCUCUCUGGGCCUUACCUGACGCUGAGGAGCGAAAGCGUGGGUAGCGAACAGG
This 253-nucleotide ribosomal RNA is filed under the name uncultured bacterium. RNAcentral describes it as "partial 16S ribosomal RNA". It matches the Rfam family "Bacterial small subunit ribosomal RNA", at positions 524 to 776 of the family's 1533-position model. The record is from RNAcentral.